RNAcentral lists this long non-coding RNA (2042 nucleotides) under Homo sapiens (human). RNAcentral's name for it is "CHLSN antisense RNA 1, transcript variant 2 (CHLSN-AS1)". The record is from RNAcentral. Lineage: Eukaryota; Metazoa; Chordata; Mammalia; Primates; Hominidae.
AGAACACGCCAGGGUGGAGACAGGAGAUCUGUGUGCUUCCCGAGUACAGAUCACGGCUCAGCAUCUCAUGGGAAAGGGACAGGGCUCUCUUCAGGACACGCAGUAAGAUUUCAAGUGCGGGCACUUUUAAUACUCCGCGAUCCAAAGGCAGCUCCAGGGCCAGCCGCGGUUUCCGGCCUCAAGGGCAGGCUCGGUUCUGGAGCUCCCUCCAGUGGCCGUCGGGGUGCCGUCACUUUCAGGGCCCCACCAGGAGAGCAGGGGCCCCGCCGAGGACCAGAGCGCCUGGACCAGAGGGAGCCCUGCGCGGCCGGCACGGAUGCCUCUCAAUAGGCGGCAUGGGGCCGACACGACUCGCCCAUAUUUGGUUCUCAUGAAAACAGAAGCUCCGUGGAGAAAGCGAAGAAAGUCCUUGAAAGUCGCCUGUUCAAAGCCGCCACUGCCGUGAUGCCCCCUGACUCCGCACCCCGCCGCCGUGACGCCCCCCACGACCCCGCACCCUGCUGCAGUGACGCCCCCGACCCCUCACCCCGCUGCCGUCACACACCCCGACCCCGCUGCCGUCACUCCCCACGACCCCCCACCCCGCUGCCGUCACGCUCCGUGACCCCCGACCCCGACACCCUGCUGCCGUGAUGUUCCCCCAACCCUGCACCCCGCUGCCGUGACGCCCGCCCCGACCCCGCACCCCGCUGCUGUCACGCCCCCGACCCCGCACCCCGCCGCCGUCACGCCCGACCCCUCACCCCGCUACUGUGACGCCCCCCGACCCCUCACCCCGCUGCCGUCACACACCCCGACCCCGCUGCCGUCACUCCCAACCCCCCACCCCGCUGCCGUCACGCUCCGUGACCCCCGACCCCGACACCCUGCUGCCGUGAUGUUCCCCCAACCCUGCACCCCGCUGCCGUGACGCCCGCCCCGACCCCGCACCCCGCUGCCGUCACGCCCCCGACCCCGCACCCCGCCGCCGUCACGCCCGACCUCUCACCCCGCUACUGUGACGCCCCCCGACCCCGCACCCCGCCGCCGUCACUCCCCCGACCCCGCACCCCGCUGCCGUGACACCCCCCGGCCCCCAUCCCGCUGCCAUCACGCCUCCCGGCCCCCGCACCCUUGUCUGUGUCCCACAGCACAGGACCUGUCAGCGAGCGUCUGGCGCCUUCCUCCCUCCCCUGCAGAGACCCGCCAGGCCCCUCCAACAGGUGCUUUCUAAACUGCAAUUUCCUCAUCUACAAAAGGACAAUCACAACAACGGAACCCAGGGGACAGGACUGCAUCAACUACAACCAGACGGCGUAGACGGCAGCACACGGCCCUCGGCAAAUCAGAGAAACACUGCUGUGCAAGAACCUGCAAAUCCCUAAGGCGUCUGUGUCCGAUGGCCCCGGCCCCAUGCUCUGAGGUCGCGCAGGUGUCCAAGGCCAGGAGGGGCACCGAGGAGACGAAGAAGAAACAGCACAGCAGCUGGGGAGGUAGGAACAGCAGAGUCUGAGUCACCAAAGCCCGGGGCUGCCACUCUCCAGGGCGCCCCACUCCCAGCUCCAGCGGCUGAGUCCACCAAGCCAGGACAGGCCCAAGGACCAGAGGGCGAGGUGAUUCACAGUGGAGCUCGGAAAGACCCAUCCAUGCCCAGCGCCUUGUCAAAAACCACAGGGGUCUUGGUGACAAGCAAUUGAGGGAGGCCAACAUGGCAGAGCCAGGGCUGCAAAAUCGGCUGGAAUAAGCAUCAGACCUGCUAGAAGGGUUUUCUGUGCCUGUUUUCGGUGAGCACAGAACAACUGAAGGAAGCGCGGGACAGACACAAGGGCGGGCCUCGGUGCCACGGCUGGCCUUGGGCAGAGGGAAAUGCUUUGUGUACUUUCUCUGGGAAGCAGCAGCCCCAGCGCGGCCUCGGCGUCCUCUGCCGCCAACUGCUCCGUGACCGCUGGGCGUGUGUGCGGGGACAUGGGAGCAACUUCACAGUGGUGGGAAGUUUCUCUCCUAAAACGAAAGCUUCUCUAUACUACAGAUUGGCCCCAUUAAAUAAAAGAAAAUACGGUGUA